This is a long non-coding RNA of Mauremys mutica (yellowpond turtle), 629 nucleotides long. RefSeq lists it as uncharacterized. NCBI's taxonomy places the organism in Eukaryota, Metazoa, Chordata, Testudines, Geoemydidae. The record is from RefSeq and is a predicted model, not a curated record. The transcript is spliced from 3 exons.
UGAUGAAUCUUGGGGGGGGAUUAUGAAACAUUCCAUAAUCUGUCCAGACUUCCACUAAACGUAAGCAGAUUGUGUCCACAGUUGGUGCUCUAGUACUGACAGAGAGAGCAGUGCAUCCUGGGUAGCUAGCCCACUGUGCAAAUUGCCACUGUCUCCUGCUAGGAGUUCUGGGAACAGAUCGCAAUGCAUCAUGGGGAUGGGAUCACCACUGGAUGAUGCAGUUUUCUCCAUCCCAUAAUUCCAAGGGCUUUGGACUGCAUUGUGCACGGUUUUCCACUGCCCCUGUAAACUUUAUGCCUGCCAUCUGUGCUUGAAAGCAUGGAUCCUGCCAUGCUCCCCACUCUUGUGAUAAGCAUUAUGAACACAACACAGCUGAUCCUGCAGUAUUUGGUGACCUGCAAAUCUGAACAAGAAUAUGUGGUGCCUAUUCUGCUGUAUGGAAAGAAACAAUUCAAGAUUGAUGAUGGCAUUCACGGAGCAGCUGCACAUGGUGGACUGUCUCUAUUGGGCUCAGGAAACAAGCAUCGAGUGCUGGGAUCAGAUUGUGAUACAGGCACAGCCGAGCUGGACUGUUGGGAUUGGCUAGACCCCACCAGAGUCAAAAAAGAGGUCGUCGCUCACCAUGCCAC